This 870-nucleotide ribosomal RNA is filed under the name Piloderma olivaceum. RNAcentral's name for it is "eukaryotic LSU rRNA". The stretch from base 327 to 481 matches the Rfam family "5.8S ribosomal RNA". Lineage: Eukaryota; Fungi; Basidiomycota; Agaricomycetes; Atheliales; Atheliaceae. The record is from RNAcentral.
AGUGAGGUCUUCGGAUUGGCUUUGGGGAGCCGGCGACGGCACCCUAUCGCUGAGAAGUCGAUCAAACUUGGUCAUUUAGAGGAAGUAAAAGUCGUAACAAGGUUUCCGUAGGUGAACCUGCGGAAGGAUCAUUAUNGAAAUUAUAGGUGAGGGUUGUAGCUGGCCUCUCGGGGCAUGUGCACGCCCGAGCCCUUAAUCCACACACACCUGUGAACCUAUUGUAAGGGCCCUUAAAAAAGGCCUUUACGUCUUAUCAUCAACCCAUCGUAUGUCUCAUAGAAUGUAAAUAUAUGUCCUCGCCUUAAAAAGCGUUGAUAAACUUAUACAACUUUCAACAACGGAUCUCUUGGCUCUCGCAUCGAUGAAGAACGCAGCGAAAUGCGAUAAGUAAUGUGAAUUGCAGAUUUUCAGUGAAUCAUCGAAUCUUUGAACGCACCUUGCGCUCCUUGGUAUUCCGAGGAGCAUGCCUGUUUGAGUGUCAUUAAAUUCUCAACUCCGAUCGAUUUGUUUCGACUUCGGAGCUUGGAUUUGGAGCGUGCUGGCGUCGGUCGGCUCCUCUUAAAUGCAUCAGCGGAAUCUAACGUUUCGGACGUCAGUGUGAUAAUCAUGUUGCGCUGUCUGUCUGAUCCGAAAGCCCGCUCACAAUGGUCUUCGGACAACUUCAUAUCAAAUUUGACCUCAAAUCAGGUAGGACUACCCGCUGAACUUAAGCAUAUCAAUAAGCGGAGGAAAAGAAACUAACAAGGAUUCCCCUAGUAACUGCGAGUGAAGCGGGAAAAGCUCAAAUUUAAAAUCUGGCGGUCUUGCGGCCGUCCGAGUUGUAAUCUGGAGAAGCGUUUAUCCGCGUCGGANCGUGUACNAGUCUUCUGG